Molecule: long non-coding RNA, 720 nt
Filed under: Numida meleagris (helmeted guineafowl)
Lineage: Eukaryota; Metazoa; Chordata; Aves; Galliformes; Numididae
Description: lncRNA (ENSNMEG00000010892.1)
Source: RNAcentral
AUGCUGCCGUGGCCGGGGGUGACUCACGGCGGCCCGCGGCUGCCGCUGAUUAGCGGAUCAGAGAGCCGAGUGGGAAGCGGGCACGGCACGGCCGCUCCUUCCCCGGGCACCGCGGGUCGGGUCGGGCCGCCCCGAGUCAAACAUCCUUCCCCUCCCAGCCCCCCUCAGCUCCUGCACGAUGUAUUUUUAUUCCUUCGGAAUAAACCGACGGCUUUGUCGGAGCACAAAUUCACCCUUCCAACAGCGAAAAAGCCUCCCUCAGUCCCUUCCUUGCCGCGUGACAGCCCCGACGGCACCACGGUGUGCAGCCCGCAGCGCUCCGACGGCGCCCGCCUCAACCAAAGCAUUUGGAAAGUGACAGAGCCUGAAGAAAAAGGGAAUUCAAAAUCUGGCUCUCCAGUUUUCUCCUGGACCUAUCUGGUCUUCUGUAUCCAUGGACAAGUGGGCUGCUGCAGGAGUGGUGUACAAGCCCCACCAUUAGCCAGUCUCUCUGUACUAUGCAGCAACUUCUGCUAAGUUCCUAGAAGGUUUUCAUUCAGUUGAGUAAUCUCGCAGUAGUGUGGAGGACAUUGAAAAGAUGCACAGUUUUCCACAUUGUUUCUGCUUCUUGGUAUGUACAAGUGGGGAGUGUGCAUAAUCCUUGGUUAAUGAUGUGUAUUUAUACAUUUGUUAAUAAUUAUGCGUUAGAUCUUAUGGUCUGCAGCAGUAGAGUAUUGAAAG